UACAGAGGGAGCGAGCGUUGUUCGGAUUUACUGGGCGUAAAGGGCGAGCAGGCGGGCCGGUAAGUCGGUUGUGAAAACUGUUGGCUCAACCAACAGAUUGCAGUCGAAACUGUCGGCCUUGAGUCCAGGAGAGGAGAGUGGAAUCCCAGGUGUAGCGGUGAAAUGCGUAGAUAUCUGGGAGAACACCGGUGGCGAAGGCGGCUCUCUGGCCUGGUACUGACGCUGAGGCGCGAAAGCUAGGGGAGCAAACAGG
This 253-nucleotide ribosomal RNA is filed under the name uncultured bacterium. RNAcentral describes it as "partial 16S ribosomal RNA". It matches the Rfam family "Bacterial small subunit ribosomal RNA", at positions 524 to 776 of the family's 1533-position model. The record is from RNAcentral.